GGGAAUGUGGCUUAGUGGUAGAGUGCUUGCCUAGCAUGCAGGAAGCCCUGGGUUCAAUUCCUCAGCACCA
RNAcentral lists this transfer RNA (70 nucleotides) under Dipodomys ordii (Ord's kangaroo rat). It matches the Rfam family "tRNA". Rfam says of the family: Transfer RNA (tRNA) molecules are approximately 80 nucleotides in length. Their secondary structure includes four short double-helical elements and three loops (D, anti-codon, and T loops). The record is from Rfam by way of RNAcentral. Lineage: Eukaryota; Metazoa; Chordata; Mammalia; Rodentia; Heteromyidae.